This 433-nucleotide ribosomal RNA is filed under the name uncultured bacterium. RNAcentral describes it as "partial 16S ribosomal RNA". It matches the Rfam family "Bacterial small subunit ribosomal RNA", at positions 29 to 507 of the family's 1533-position model. The record is from RNAcentral.
AACGAACGCUGGCGGCAUGCCUAACACAUGCAAGUCGAACGAGACCUUCGGGUCUAGUGGCGCACGGGUGCGUAACGCGUGGGAACCUGCCCUUAGGUUCGGAAUAACUCCCCGAAAGGGGUGCUAAUACCGGAUAAUGUCUUCGGACCAAAGAUUUAUCGCCUUUGGAUGGGCCCGCGUUGGAUUAGCUAGUUGGUAGGGUAAAAGCCUACCAAGGCGACGAUCCAUAGCUGGUCUGAGAGGAUGAUCAGCAACACUGGGACUGAGACACGGCCCAGACUCCUACGGGAGGCAGCAGUGGGGAAUAUUGGACAAUGGGCGAAAGCCUGAUCCAGCAAUGCCGCGUGAGUGAUGAAGGCCUUAGGGUUGUAAAGCUCUUUUACCCGGGAUGAUAAUGACAGUACCGGGAGAAUAAGCACCGGCUAACUCCGUG